This 88-nucleotide non-coding RNA is filed under the name Pseudomonas tolaasii NCPPB 2192. Lineage: Bacteria; Pseudomonadati; Pseudomonadota; Gammaproteobacteria; Pseudomonadales; Pseudomonadaceae. The record is from RNAcentral.
GUGGGAGCUGGCUUGCCUGCGAUGGCGUCGGCACAUUCAGCAUUUGAGGUAUCUGGCCUACCGCAAUCGCAGGCAAGCCAGCUCCCAC